CGUUAGCGGCGGACGGGUGGGUAACACGUGGAUAACCUACCUAUAAGACUGGGAUAACUUCGGGAAACCGUAGCUAAUACCGGAUAAUAUAUUGAACCGCAUGGUUCAAUAGUGAAAGACGGUUUUGCUGUCACUUAUAGAUGGAUCCGCGCCGCAUUAGCUAGUUGGUAAGGUAACGGGUUACCAAGGCAACGAUGCGUAGCCGACCUGAGAGGGUGAUCGGCCACACUGGAACUGAGACACGGUCCAG
Molecule: ribosomal RNA, 250 nt
Filed under: uncultured Staphylococcus sp.
Lineage: Bacteria; Bacillati; Bacillota; Bacilli; Caryophanales; Staphylococcaceae
Description: partial 16S ribosomal RNA
Rfam family: Bacterial small subunit ribosomal RNA
Source: RNAcentral